Molecule: ribosomal RNA, 251 nt
Filed under: uncultured bacterium
Lineage: Bacteria
Description: partial small subunit ribosomal RNA
Rfam family: Bacterial small subunit ribosomal RNA
Source: RNAcentral
AGGACGAACGCUGGCGGCGUGCUUAACACAUGCAAGUCGAGCGAGAUCUUUCGGGGUCUAGCGGCGAACGGGUGAGUAACACGUGAGCAACCUGCCCUUGGCUCUGGGAUAGCCUCCGGAAACGGGGAUUAAUACCGGACAUGACCUUUUCCUGCAUGGGGGAGGGUGGAAAGUUUUUCGGCCAGGGAGGGGCUCGCGGCCUAUCAGCUUGUUGGGGGGGUAACGGCCCACCAAGGCGACGACGGGUAGCC